UACGGAGGGUGCAAGCGUUGCUCGGAAUUAUUGGGCGUUAAGGGUAGGUAGGUGGUCUCAUUUGUCAGGGGUGAAAGCCUUGGGCUUAACCCAAGAAGUGCCCCUGAAACGGUGAGACUAGAGUCCUGGAGAGGGUCGUGGAAUUCCCGGUGUAGCGGUGAAAUGCGUAGAGAUCGGGAGGAACACCAGAGGCGCAAGCGGCGGCCUGGACAGGAACUGACACUCAACUACGAAAGCGUGGGGAGCAAACAGG
Molecule: ribosomal RNA, 253 nt
Filed under: uncultured bacterium
Lineage: Bacteria
Description: partial 16S ribosomal RNA
Rfam family: Bacterial small subunit ribosomal RNA
Source: RNAcentral